UUAAAUUUUGCUCCUUUGCUAAGAGCUGCCUGGGGUAAAGAGGUUAUCAGAUAAAUUCUGGUUCAAAUUCCAGCCCCAGUGUAUCUUUAUAGUAGCCUUCUUUUCUUAAAGCUUCCUAAAAGGUUUGCUUCUUAUAGGCAAAAUUAUUUUCCUAACCCUGAUUGGUAAAUGUUUACAAGUCUUUAAAUUUAGUAGGAUCCAGUCAAUCAAUGUGUAUUUUUUUGAUGUAUAGUUUAUAUACAAUAAAAUGCACCCAUUUUUAGUGAACAGUU
Molecule: long non-coding RNA, 272 nt
Organism: Herpailurus yagouaroundi (jaguarundi)
Lineage: Eukaryota; Metazoa; Chordata; Mammalia; Carnivora; Felidae
Exons: 2
Source: RefSeq, a predicted model, not a curated record